Tripterygium wilfordii is the source of this 106-nucleotide small nucleolar RNA. NCBI's taxonomy places the organism in Eukaryota, Viridiplantae, Streptophyta, Magnoliopsida, Celastrales, Celastraceae. The record is from RefSeq and is a predicted model, not a curated record.
GCAUCAUGAUUUGGGCAACUUCGAAUAAUUCCUUUAAAGCACUCCCAAGCCUCAUAGAAAAAUUCAAGAUCCUUUUGGGCAAAGGACAUGAUAUUCGCCCUAAUUU